CCCUAGCCCUGAUAGGAAUGGUUACCCCACAGCACGCAGUGGAAUGAUGAUGGAUCCAAGCGGUGGGGAGCCUGGGAGCGAGGAGUAAAAAUGGAGAGCAGGAAAAAGC
RNAcentral lists this unclassified non-coding RNA (109 nucleotides) under Chryseobacterium joostei. RNAcentral describes it as "Flavo-1 RNA". The record is from RNAcentral. Lineage: Bacteria; Pseudomonadati; Bacteroidota; Flavobacteriia; Flavobacteriales; Weeksellaceae.